This 85-nucleotide microRNA precursor is filed under the name Paramuricea clavata. The record is from RNAcentral. Lineage: Eukaryota; Metazoa; Cnidaria; Anthozoa; Malacalcyonacea; Plexauridae.
UGAUGGUAUUUAUGACGUCGAUAUUCGACGUCAUAAACACCAAACUUGAUGGUGUUUAUGACGUCGAAUAUCGACGUCAUAAACA